RNAcentral lists this ribosomal RNA (459 nucleotides) under uncultured bacterium. RNAcentral's name for it is "bacterial SSU rRNA". It matches the Rfam family "Bacterial small subunit ribosomal RNA", at positions 27 to 507 of the family's 1533-position model. The record is from RNAcentral.
GAACGAACGCUGGCGGCAUGCCUAACACAUGCAAGUCGAACGAGACCUUCGGGUCUAGUGGCGCACGGGUGCGUAACGCGUGGGAACCUGCCUUUAGGUUCGGAAUAACAGUGAGAAAUUACUGCUAAUACCGGAUGAUGUCUUCGGACCCAAAGAUUUAUCGCCUUUAGAUGGGCCCGCGUUGGAUUAGCUAGUUGGUGGGGUAAAGGCCUACCAAGGCGACGAUCCAUAGCUGGUCUGAGAGGAUGAUCAGCCACACUGGGACUGAGACACGGCCCAGACUCCUACGGGAGGCAGCAGUGGGGAAUUUUGGACAAUGGGGGCAACCCUGAUCCAGCAAUGCCGCGUGAGUGAAGAAGGCCUUCGGGUUGUAAAGCUCUUUUGUCAGGGAAGAAACAGCAGCUCUAACACAGUCUGCGAAUGACGGUACCUGAAGAAUAAGCACCGGCUAACUACGUG